ACGGAGAACAGACAGCUUUCACUCACAUACACAUGCUUCAGGCCUUCCUUCCAUUCUCUUUUCUCCGAUGUUUGAGCUACAGGAACGCAACCAUGAGAGCCUUUUCUUUUUGAAGUGGAAAAUGGAGGAAACUCCAAAUUGGACACAGCUUUCCGCCAGACAGUCUUUCCUUCUUUCCCUGGACUAUCGUAGCCCCUGGGUAAUUUAGGAAACAGAUGGAAGCACUUUAACUGUAUGGAAGGGUAACAGUAACUCUGGCUGAGGCCCACCACUGCUGAAUUCAACUACUGAUAUGAUGCACCUCAGAAUCUGAAUGGCGAAAUAUAAAAGCAGAGCUUUCUGAAUCCCUCCAGCUCAGAAUUCUGACAAUUCGAAGGAGUUUGGAGCAUCUGCGUUUUGUGCAAGCCUGGAUUUGCCCCAGUGGCCCCUGACAGCAGAGGAAUGCGCUCUUUUAGGGCCUGACCAGCUGAGCCUCAGGGCCAUCAGGAGGGCCUCAGCCAGCAAUCAAUCAAUAAAAGAAUAAUCAAAUAAAACAAAUGCUCAAUAAAUAAA
Molecule: long non-coding RNA, 552 nt
Organism: Ctenopharyngodon idella (grass carp)
Lineage: Eukaryota; Metazoa; Chordata; Actinopteri; Cypriniformes; Xenocyprididae
Exons: 2
Source: RefSeq, a predicted model, not a curated record